RNAcentral lists this ribosomal RNA (477 nucleotides) under uncultured Saprospiraceae bacterium. Its description in RNAcentral is "bacterial SSU rRNA". It matches the Rfam family "Bacterial small subunit ribosomal RNA", at positions 28 to 505 of the family's 1533-position model. The record is from RNAcentral. Lineage: Bacteria; Pseudomonadati; Bacteroidota; Saprospiria; Saprospirales; Saprospiraceae.
GAUGAACGCUAGCGGGAGGCUUAAUACAUGCAAGUCGAGGGGUAACAUGAGAGCUUGCUCUUGAUGACGACCGGCGCACGGGUGAGUAACGCGUACACUACCUACCUUGAACUGGGGGACACACACUGGAAACGGAGUAAAUACCCCAUAGUAUCAUGGUUUUAUUAUUAUGAUUAAAGUUUCGGCGGUUCAAGAUGGGUGUGCGUACUAUUAGAUAGUUGGUGAGGUAACGGCUCACCAAGUCGACGAUAGUUAGGGGGCGUGAGAGCGUGACCCCCCACACGGGUACUGAGACACGGACCCGACUCCUACGGGAGGCAGCAGUAAGGAAUAUUGGACAAUGGGCGAGAGCCUGAUCCAGCCAUCCCGCGUGAAGGAUGACGGCCCUCUGGGUUGUAAACUUCUUUUAUAUACCAAGAAUAGCAGAUACGUGUAUUUGUAUGACGGUAGUAUAUGAAUAAGCACCGGCUAACUCCG